This 1019-nucleotide ribosomal RNA is filed under the name human gut metagenome. Its description in RNAcentral is "bacterial LSU rRNA". It matches the Rfam family "Bacterial large subunit ribosomal RNA", at positions 1907 to 2925 of the family's 2925-position model. The record is from RNAcentral.
UUGAAUUGAAGCCCCAGUAAACGGCGGCCGUAACUAUAACGGUCCUAAGGUAGCGAAAUUCCUUGUCAGGUAAGUUCUGACCCGCACGAAAGGCGUAACGAUUUGGGCGCUGUCUCAGCUGUAGACUCGGUGAAGUCUUAGUACCUGUGAAGAUGCAGGUUACCCGCGACUAGACGGAAAGACCCCAUGGAGCUUUACUGUAGCUUGAUAUUGGACUUUGAUGCAAGAUGUACAGGAUAGGUAGGAGACUGAGAGACAUGCACGCCAGUGUGUGAGGAGUCAAUGUUGGGAUACUACUCUUCUUGUAUUGGAGUUCUAACCGGAUGCCAUGGAACUGGCAACGGGACAGUGUCAGGUGGGCAGUUUGACUGGGGCGGUCGCCUCCCAAAGAGUAACGGAGGCGCCCAAAGAUACCCUCAGCUUGGAUGGAAAUCAAGCGCAGAGUGCAAAGGCAUAAGGGUGUUUGACUGCGAGACCUACAAGUCGAGCAGGGACGAAAGUCGGGCUUAGUGAUCCGGCGGUGCUGAAUGGAAAGGCCGUCGCUCAACGGAUAAAAGCUACCCUGGGGAUAACAGGCUGAUCUCCCCCAAGAGUUCACAUCGACGGGGAGGUUUGGCACCUCGAUGUCGGCUCAUCGCAUCCUGGAGCUGAAGUCGGUUCCAAGGGUUGGGCUGUUCGCCCAUUAAAGCGGUACGCGAGCUGGGUUCAGAACGUCGUGAGACAGUUCGGUCCCUAUCUGUCGUGGGCGUAGGAAGUUUGAGAAGAUCUGUCCUCAGUACGAGAGGACCGGGAUGGACAUAUCAAUGGUGCACCAGUUGUCACGCCAGUGGCACAGCUGGGUAGCUAAAUAUGGAAGGGAUAAACGCUGAAGGCAUCUAAGUGUGAAACCCACUUCAAGAUGAGACUUCCCAUUACGCAAGUAAGUAAGACCCCUUAAAGACGAUAAGGUUGAUAGGUCAGGAGUGUAAGCAUGGCGACAUGUUCAGCGGACUGAUACUAAUAGGUCGAGGACUUAACCU